This 700-nucleotide ribosomal RNA is filed under the name Priestia megaterium. RNAcentral's name for it is "bacterial SSU rRNA". It matches the Rfam family "Bacterial small subunit ribosomal RNA", at positions 70 to 754 of the family's 1533-position model. Lineage: Bacteria; Bacillati; Bacillota; Bacilli; Caryophanales; Bacillaceae. The record is from RNAcentral.
GAUUAGAAGCUUGCUUCUAUGACGUUAGCGGCGGNCGGGUGAGUAACACGUGGGCAACCUGCCUGUAAGACUGGGAUAACUUCGGGAAACCGAAGCUAAUACCGGAUAGGAUCUUCUCCUUCAUGGGAGAUGAUUGAAAGAUGGUUUCGGCUAUCACUUACAGAUGGGCCCGCGGUGCAUUAGCUAGUUGGUGAGGUAACGGCUCACCAAGGCAACGAUGCAUAGCCGACCUGAGAGGGUGAUCGGCCACACUGGGACUGAGACACGGCCCAGACUCCUACGGGAGGCAGCAGUAGGGAAUCUUCCGCAAUGGACGAAAGUCUGACGGAGCAACGCCGCGUGAGUGAUGAAGGCUUUCGGGUCGUAAAACUCUGUUGUUAGGGAAGAACAAGUACNAGAGUAACUGCUNGUACCUUGACGGUACCUAACCAGAAAGCCACGGCUAACUACGUGCCAGCAGCCGCGGUAAUACGUAGGUGGCAAGCGUUAUCCGGAAUUAUUGGGCGUAAAGCGCGCGCAGGCGGUUUCUUAAGUCUGAUGUGAAAGCCCACGGCUCAACCGUGGAGGGUCAUUGGAAACUGGGGAACUUGAGUGCAGAAGAGAAAAGCGGAAUUCCACGUGUAGCGGUGAAAUGCGUAGAGAUGUGGAGGAACACCAGUGGCGAANGCGGCUUUUUGGUCUGUAACUGACGCUGANGCGC